AUUGAACGCUGGCGGCAGGCCUAACACAUGCAAGUCGAGCGAGCGGCGGACGGGUGAGUAAUGUCCGGGAAACUGCCUGAUGGAGGGGGAUAACUACUGGAAACGGUAGAUAAUACCGCAUCCCAUCAGAUGUGCCCAGAUGGGAUUAGCUAGGGGGUGGGGUAACGGCACACCUAGGCGACGAACCCUAGCUGGUCUGAGAGGAUGACCAGCCACACUGGAAAUGAGACACGGUCCAGACUCCUACGGGAGGCAGCAGUGGGGAAUAUUGCACAAUGGGCGCAAGCCUGAUGCAGCCAUGCCGCGUGUGUGAAGAAGGCCUUCGGGUUGUAAAGCACUUUCAGCGGGGAGGCGUUACCCACAGAAGAAGCACCGGCUAACUCCGUGCCAGCCGCCGCGGUAAUAC
RNAcentral lists this ribosomal RNA (406 nucleotides) under uncultured bacterium. Its description in RNAcentral is "partial 16S ribosomal RNA". It matches the Rfam family "Bacterial small subunit ribosomal RNA", at positions 29 to 526 of the family's 1533-position model. The record is from RNAcentral.